This 365-nucleotide ribosomal RNA is filed under the name uncultured fungus. RNAcentral describes it as "eukaryotic LSU rRNA". The stretch from base 1 to 105 matches the Rfam family "5.8S ribosomal RNA", at positions 50 to 154 of the family's 154-position model. Lineage: Eukaryota; Fungi. The record is from RNAcentral.
GAAAUGCGAUAAGUAAUGUGAAUUGCAGAAUUCAGUGAAUCAUCGAAUCUUUGAACGCACCUUGCGCUCCUUGGUAUUCCGAGGAGCAUGCUUGUUUGAGUGUCAUGGUCUUCUCAACCCUCCAGUUUUUUGUUAUCAAAGGCUGUUGGGCUUGGAUGUGGAGGUUCUGCGGGCAUCUGAAUUUUUGGUUCAGGAGUCGGCUCCUCUGAAAUGCAUUAGCUUGAAUAGAACCAAGCAUGAUUCAGCGUGAUAAUUGUCUACGUUGCUUCGUCUCGGUGAACUUAAUGUUCUAGCUUCUAACUGUCCCUCAGGACAAUCUCUGAACAUCUGACCUCAAAUCAAGUAGGACUACCCGCUGAACUUAA